CUCUAGGGCUGAAACUAUUGCCAGUCUACGGCCAGUCUCAUCAGAUCUUGGAAACUAAGCAGAGUUGGGCCUGGUUAGGACUUGGACGGGAGAUCGCUGAAUACCAGGUGCCACAGUGG
Molecule: ribosomal RNA, 119 nt
Filed under: Periophthalmus magnuspinnatus
Lineage: Eukaryota; Metazoa; Chordata; Actinopteri; Gobiiformes; Gobiidae
Source: RNAcentral